GGUUACGAUCAUACCAUCACUAAUGCACCGGAUCCCAUCAGAACUCCGCGAUUAAGCGAGCUUGGGCGAGAGUAAUACUAGGAUGGGUGACCCCCUGGGAAUGCCUCAUCUUGCAACCC
This 119-nucleotide ribosomal RNA is filed under the name Helianthus annuus (common sunflower). The record is from RNAcentral. Lineage: Eukaryota; Viridiplantae; Streptophyta; Magnoliopsida; Asterales; Asteraceae.